This 468-nucleotide ribosomal RNA is filed under the name uncultured bacterium. Its description in RNAcentral is "partial 16S ribosomal RNA". It matches the Rfam family "Bacterial small subunit ribosomal RNA", at positions 28 to 507 of the family's 1533-position model. The record is from RNAcentral.
GACGAACGCUGGCGGCGUGCUUAACACAUGCAAGUCGAACGGAAAGGCCCUGCUUUUGUGGGGUGCUCGAGUGGCGAACGGGUGAGUAACACGUGAGUAACCUGCCCUUGACUUUGGGAUAACUUCAGGAAACUGGGGCUCAUACCGGAUAGGAGCUCCUGCUGCAUGGUGGGGGUUGGAAAGUUUCGGCGGUUGGGGAUGGACUCGCGGCUUAUCAGCUUGUUGGUGGGGUAGUGGCUUACCAAGGCGUUGACGGGUAGCCGGCCUGAGAGGGUGACCGGCCACAUUGGGACUGAGAUACGGCCCAGACUCCUACGGGAGGCAGCAGUGGGGAAUAUUGCACAAUGGGCGGAAGCCUGAUGCAGCAACGCCGCGUGCGGGAUGACGGCCUUCGGGUUGUAAACCGCUUUCGCCUGUGACGAAGCGUGAGUGACGGUAAUGGGUAAAGAAGCACCGGCUAACUACGUG